UCUCUUCCUUCUCGUUUUCUUCUCUAAACCACCGAGAUCUCUCGAAACCGAACUGGAUUUCUGAAAAUCAAAUGCCAUCUUUUAGAAAUCUAAUCCAAUUUGUGAUAUCAGUCAAUCUGAUUUUUGAGAUGGGUUUUGAUAAGAUUGAGUUUCAUCUAUUCAAUUUUUUUAUUUUUUGAUGUGAGUUUUCAUUGAAUCUGAUAUGUGAGGUCUCUUUAACUAAUCUCACAAAUCAAAACCCAUCUUUCUGAAAUCAGACUCAAUUUUUGGUAAACCAAAUUUUGUUUCAAACCUUAGGUAUGUGAUCUUCUUGUUUAUAAACCCUAGCAAACGAUUCUCUAUAGUUUUAUGAAUUUCAGUUGAGUUUUUUUUUUCUUAUGGGAAUUUCAGAUGAGUUUAGUUACUGUAAAUUUGACAUAUGGUUGUAUUGAUUCUAUAGAUUUUAUUUUUGUUUAGUUUUUAUUUUGGAAUUCUUAAGUAGACAGAAUCAUUUUAGGUUAAUCAUUUGGGUGUUUCUUUGGUUUAAGUUACUCCGUAUCUUCAGAUCUUGUUGUUUCGAUUUUCUAGGGUUUAAUUGUCGUUGUAUGUAUAGCUUAAUUUUUGCUUCAACGAUUUAUUUUUCCUUUAUAUCUUCAAAUCUGGUUCCUUUUCGUCUUUUUUGUUGUUGUUCAUCUCUUGAAUCGUAUCCCUUUUAACGGAUGUCUGCAAUCAAUUCUUGGUUCUACUAUGCUUGGGAUCAUUGGGGUUAAUCAAUUUUUUUUCUUAUUGGGUUCUUAUGUUAUUGAUUCAUGAGUUCUUAUGUGUGUCUGUUUGUGUUUCGCUUUCUGGUGAACCACUUUUCUUCUUUAAUCAUGAAAUCCUACUAGUUGUGCAGCAAAUGUGGAUUAUGCGAACUUAUUACUUCUAUCAUGUGAAAAGUGCUGGUGCUUAGAUGGUUGAUUUAAGUAUUCAGAUGGUUGGAUUAAUAUCUGCGAACUCAGUAUUUAUGGUAAUGUUUUUCUAAUGAAUGCACUCUUGAUGUUUGACAAAAUUACUCAUCCAAAUGCUUUUUCUUUGAUAAGUAAAAUUGUUUAAGUGAAUUGUUCAUCUAAAUAAGUGAAUUGUUUAAGUGAUAUCAUUUUUCUAUUGGCAGAAGCAUAGUCCUAGUGAGAAUAUAAGCCCUCUGCCUCAAUUAUAAGGUUGGUUAUGUUAUUGAGUCUACUGUAAUUGUGAUUAUCUGUUUUAGGGUUGCUAGUGGUUUGCUUUAGAUGAUUCCUUAGUGUCUUGUUCAUAUUUUAUUUAUGGGUUUGGUCCAAACUUGCAAUUUCAUUAUGGUUUGUGUAACUGAUUUUGUAAAAUAAGCUGCAAUGUACUUGACAGUGCGUAUCUUUGUCAGUUUUAGCCUAGCUUCCAUGUAUAGAAUUGUUGUAGAGGCUCUUGACAUGCUCAGCACUAUUGCUACUGGAUUUGCCAUUGAUGCAUAUGGUCCCAUCAGUGACAAUGCUGGAGGUAUUGCUGAGAUGGAUGGCAUGAGCCACAGGAUCUGGGAGAGGACUGAUGCCCUAGAUGCUGCUGGAAACACCACUGCUGCUAUUGGAAAGCUAUGACCAUGAAGAGUGUGGGAAGUGCAGCUCUUAAGAGAGUGGAAAAAUUUCAGAAGCAAUUUAACACCAUUCCUGUUCUUAUGGAAGGUACCGCAAAGCCUAACUACGCCAACUGUGUCGAGAUCUCGACAGAUGAAUCCAUCAAAGAAAUGAUCCCACUAGGUGCCUUGGUCAUGCUCACUCCCCUAAUUGUUGGAACGUUUUUUUUUCGCGUUGAGACCCUCUCUUGUGUCCUUGCUGGUUCCCUCGUUUCUAGUGUACAGGUAACAUAUUACCUGGCUACUUUUUGGCCAAACAGUGGAGUGUCCCCUUCUAGUUAGAGUUUCCUUCUUAAUAAAUUAUUUCUUAAUCUUUCCACACUCCAUGGAUUGAUGAAAAUUACUAGACCCGGCCCCUUGCUUUGUCUACAUGAAAAGUGGGGGUGGUUAGCAACAGCGCACUUAUGACUGCUGCUAGGUUUUUCCUGUGCGUUUGAAAUUUCAGAAAAGUACCGUGUCUUUGAUAGAGUUGGUCAUGCAGUAAAUGUUUCAACAUUUUUAAAUGUUCCUCUCCUUUGGAGGCAGGCGAUAUCAUGUCGUUGUUUCAGUACAAGAUUGGCAUUUAUACUCUGGUAAGUGAUGUUCCUGUUAACGUUGAGGUGUAACUCUAGAUGAUUUAUUCACGAUACAAUGGUGCGGCAUCUAAUGUGGGAUCAUGUGGACAUGACUCGCUAAGAUGUGUAUCUUAAAUUCUUAAUUGUCUUAUUUGAUGUGUAUAUGAAUUGUCCUUCUAUUUUUUUCGAAGUUGUGAGAACGAAUGAAUCGACUAUGGUCAUUUUACACAUCAAGAUAGUAACUUCAUAAAAUGUAAUUUAUAUACAGGAAAGUUGUUUUGAAACUGUAAGAUAUUGACUUACAGUGUAUUUCGUUCCUACAGUUGUCUAAAAGAAGAAGUAGAGGUGAUCAUGACAGUUCAACUGGAUCCACUGCUGCUUCUACUAGUACAUCUAUGCGAGUUCAUGGCAGAGGCGGGGCUAGGGGAGGUCGUGGCAGAGCUACACCAAGUACUAGUUCAGUUGAACUAUUAGUGUGUGUAUGGAUCUAAAUGUAGAGCAAGUUCUCUUUUCCUCAAAAGGUGUUCAUAGAAGAUUGUAUACACUGAAGAAAAGGAUAACUCCAAUAUAUCCUUAACGAGUUUCGAAACCCAAACCUAGGCGCUAUAAAUUCUGUCUUGGUUACAGGUUCCUCCUGGCACUCAACCUGGUCAGAAGGUUGUACUAAAGAGAAAAGGUUAGAAGAGUACAUGGAUGUUUUCGAAUUUUAUGCAAAUUUCCAACCUGCAUAUGCUCUUAGUAAUCGCGUGUCUCGCGUAUGGAAAUGGUAUAAAUGCUCUUAGUAAAUUUUCUGCACAUGUAUGGCAAUCUCAUCUCAUAUCUAUUUACUUGUUCAAACUUGGCCUUUCUUUUUUAUGAAUAUAUCUUGAUGGAUUGUGAUGACCAACCAUAUGAAAAA
This is a long non-coding RNA of Papaver somniferum (opium poppy), 3073 nucleotides long. RefSeq lists it as uncharacterized. The record is from RefSeq and is a predicted model, not a curated record. Lineage: Eukaryota; Viridiplantae; Streptophyta; Magnoliopsida; Ranunculales; Papaveraceae. The transcript is spliced from 4 exons.